Molecule: ribosomal RNA, 445 nt
Filed under: uncultured bacterium
Lineage: Bacteria
Description: SSU rRNA
Rfam family: Bacterial small subunit ribosomal RNA
Source: RNAcentral
AGAGCGAACGCUGGCGGCAGGCCUAACACAUGCAAGUCGAACGCCCCUUCGGGGGAGUGGCGGACGGGUGAGUAACGCGUGGGAAUGUGCCCUUUGGUACGGAACAACUGAGGGAAACUUCAGCUAAUACCGUAUGUGCCCUUCGGGGGAAAGAUUUAUCGCCAUUGGAGCAGCCCGCGUUGGAUUAGGUAGUUGGUGGGGUAAAGGCCUACCAAGCCUACGAUCCAUAGCUGGUCUGAGAGGAUGAUCAGCCACACUGGGACUGAGACACGGCCCAGACUCCUACGGGAGGCAGCAGUGGGGAAUCUUGCACAAUGGGCGAAAGCCUGAUGCAGCGACGCCGCGUGAGGGAUGACGGCCUUCGGGUUGUAAACCUCCUUCAGCAGGGAAGAAGCGAGAGUGACGGUACCUGCAGAGAAGCGCGCUAACACGUGCCAGCAGCCGC